UACGUAGGGUGCGAGCGUUUGUCCGGAAUUAUUGGGCGUAAAGAGCUUGUAGGCGGUUUGUCGCGUCUGCUGUGAAAAUCCGGGGCUCAACCCCGGACUUGCAGUGGGUACGGGCAGACUAGAGUGUGGUAGGGGAGACUGGAAUUCCUGGUGUAGCGGUGAAAUGCGCAGAUAUCAGGAGGAACACCGAUGGCGAAGGCAGGUCUCUGGGCCACUACUGACGCUGGAGAAAGCGAAAAGCGUGGGGAGCGAACAGG
Molecule: ribosomal RNA, 257 nt
Filed under: uncultured bacterium
Lineage: Bacteria
Description: partial 16S ribosomal RNA
Rfam family: Bacterial small subunit ribosomal RNA
Source: RNAcentral